This 253-nucleotide ribosomal RNA is filed under the name uncultured bacterium. RNAcentral's name for it is "partial 16S ribosomal RNA". It matches the Rfam family "Bacterial small subunit ribosomal RNA", at positions 524 to 776 of the family's 1533-position model. The record is from RNAcentral.
UACAGAGGGGGCGAGCGUUGUUCGGAAUUACUGGGCGUAAAGGGCGCGUAGGCGGCCUUCUAAGUCGAACGUGAAAUCCCCGGGCUCAACCCGGGAACUGCGUCCGAUACUGGAAGGCUUGAAUCCGGGAGAGGGAUGCGGAAUUCCAGGUGUAGCGGUGAAAUGCGUAGAUAUCUGGAGGAACACCGGUGGCGAAGGCGGCAUCCUGGACCGGCAUUGACGCUGAGGCGCGAAAGCCAGGGGAGCAAACGGG